CACAUCUAAACUAAACCUAACCUCGCUUUUGGCCAUUCAUUCAUCUCCGUGUCAAAUAAUUUCGACAGUCGCCAUAUUGAAAGCGACUUGUUUUUGGUCGAAAUUUGAUUUAGAAUCAGGGCCCAGUGUGCGUCUUGGAAGAGUGUUGCCAUCGUAUACGCUAAAAGCUGAUUGGCUCCGCCAUCUUUUGCUCAGAUUUCCGGAUUAAUUUGGAAGGGGUAAACAGAUGAUCAGUUGUUUAUUUUUCGUUUACUCUGGUUUAACCUCACUUAACUCGAUAGAUCGAGAAAUAUUAAAUUACUAUUACUAUUAUUCAGGUUGAAAAAUGCCUUCCUCUGAGGUAAAAGGUUGCGAAGUCGAUUGGGGAAAAAUAAUGUGAAAAUGAAUUCUUUCCCAAAAGAAUCUGAACGUCGGAAAGUGUGGAUUAAAAAUAUAGUGUUAAAACAAGAUCCAAACAAAUAUGCUGUUGUUUGUGAAGAACACUACUUCUGACAUGUGGAAAAAAGUUAGACAAGAUGGCAGCAGAAAAUUAAAAUGCAAUGCUGUACCAACAAUAUUUAGAGAAGAAAGCGAAAGUAUUUAAUUAUUUAUAUUGGUUUUUUGUUUAUUCACCAAUUUAACACCUAUAGAUAUUUGUAUAACAAGAGAGCGAAGUGCACCUUUUCCUCCCAAGAAUAAAGUUUACUACAGUAAUCAUUCAAGGGAGGAAAAGGCACUUCUCCCAUGUUAUACAUUUUUCCACCUCCCUCAAAUAAGUCAUUUUUUCAUUUUUAAAAUAUUUAUAUAACUGUUGAUUGAAUACAUGAAUCAUAAUUGAAUACAAGAAUUUGUGUAUUCAAUCAACAAUAGAACUAACAAAAUUUAUUAGAGAACUAAAACUAACGAGUAGGUACAGUAUAACUAUCAAAUUAUUAAUGAAAAAUUUUUAAAUCAAAAUAACAAUUUACUGUUUUUACCAUUUUGCAACAUCUAUAAAUAAAAUUUAAAAUGUAUGGAUACUUACCUAAUAGAAAAUAGAGUAAUAGUAUAGGGUGUCAAUAAGUCAUCUAUGCUAUGACAUAGUAUGACGUCAACAUCACUUUUACUUUUACUCCCUAGGGAUUAAAAGUACUUUGUUUCCCUAGGGAGAAAAAAAUAUGACUAUGCUCCCUACAAUGAGGCCAGGAAAUGUAUACUUUGGAUAUAGGUAGGUGGGAAAAUCUGUUUUAUUCAGUUAUUGUGAUUUGUUUCUUACAGACAAUCGGUUUGUUCUAGCACGAGUUUCAAACGGUCUGAAACCAUUAGCGAAUAGUAGACCAGCGCGAGUAGAGGGGAUAGCACUCGUAACUGUAUUAUGUUCUCUCACUGACCAACUGUUUGCUGACUAGUUCGACUGUUUGCUAGAACAAACCUAUUAUUCAAACAAAAUGUCCUCUACGCCAGACUGAUCAGAAUUUUAAAAAUGUGUCAUAUCAAUCAAAUCAAAAAAUUUCAAAAAUUGUUCCUGUAACCAUUUUUAGUGGAAAUAAUAACAGUACUUAUAUUGGAUCAGAGAGCCACCCAAUUCAUUGUUAAAGUAUGAUAAACUAAAAGUUAAACAAUUAGGCAUGCACUUCAUUUAUAUUUAAUGAAAUAUAACCCAUUGGUACUCGUACAAACUUGACGGCAAGCAAAUUCAACAAAUUUUUCCUCAUUUAUUAGUUUUUCACUACCGUUAAGUUUGGAAACAUGCGCCGUUGCCAAAUAAAAACAUAUACAGUCAGAAAAAUGAAAGAAUACCCAUGAACGAUCACAUCAAUCACAUAUUUUGUAUUUGCUGUUUUUUUUUUCAUAAAUAAUAAAUGAGAGAGAUAGAUUAUAUUAAUAAUCUGAAUAAUAUGUGAUUGAUGUGAUCGUUCAUGGGUAUUCUUUCAUUUUUUUUGACGGUAUGUAUUUACCACAGCAACUACAGGUGACACUGUUUCUCUUUGUCUUUAAGAGUGUGAAACAAAGAUAACUACAGUGGGAAAAAUAAAGAAUACCCAUGAACGAUCACAUCGAUCACUUAUUUUGUGUUUCCUAUCUUUUUCUAUAACAAAUGUUUAUUAUUUAUAGAAAAAGACAACUAAUAUACGCUGAGCUCGUAGGUAGAGGAGAUAAUUAAAAAAUCGCGAGAGCCAGUAGUGACAAGUCUGUAAACCUUUACUGGAAAUUUGACAUAAAUGUCAAAGUGAAUAAUUUAAAAUUGAAAUUAAAAACAUUAAUUAGAAAAAAUAUUAGUUGGUCAAAGCUGUGGUAUAUAUUUUUAUCUUAAGUAUACUUACGGUUUAAAUACUGAAUUAAGUUUUUUUAAUAUUUUGUAAUAUCUAAUUAUAAUUAGAUAUAAAUCAUCUAAGCGCCAUCUACACGAUAAUUGUGAAUGUAUCUGAAGUAAGAAAUUAAUAUUUCAUAAGAGAACGUUAAAACAGUUAGCAAAAUUUUUAAAAAAUCGAUUACAAUUUAAUUACUUUUUUGCGUUGUAAAUAUUAAGCUAUAAAAUUAAAUAAUAAAUUUAAAAAUUACUGGUGAAAGUUGAAUUAGUAAUCCGCUAGGAGCGACACCAGCGAAGCUCAGAGCGUAUAAGUGGGUGCGUUUGGACGACCAUAGCGGCUGACUGUCAGCAGAAAUCGGCUGAGUGGUUGUAUCCAGCUGUGAUAGGGAAAGCUUAGUAAAUCUCUCAGCGGCUGACUUCCAGCGGUGACGUCUGACAGCUACUGCUGGCUCAGCUGUCCAGCCGCUGUGGUCAUCCGAACGCACCCAGUGUCAGUCAUGUUUUCCUAUAGUAUAGAAGGCUUAGAUAGAAGGUUAUGUAAGAUUUUUGUUUGUUUAUUUUUUUCUUCUUCUUUUGUGGCCUUUGGAAGCUGUGCCCAUUUAGCCAGCAACAUUUCUUAAAAUUAAUGCCUAACUAAACCUACCAUACAAGAAAACCAUUACGAACCUAAACGACCAAUCAAGGAUACGGAAGGGAAAGUAAAGUUAUUUAAAAAAUAAACUGUUGUUAAAAUAUAAACUAAAUAAAUAAAAUAUAAAUUGAAAACAAUAAUUUGACAUUAUAAAUGUAACCUCCAAUAUUAUGACAGACGUCAGUUACCAUGACAUCAUAUAUUAUACUCGUCACUAAUUCUAGCCAAUGAAAUGCUUGCUGUAAUAGGAAUGGCAUAUCAAAAAAAUCUGACUAUUCUCUAUAUAUUUUUUCAAAUUUAGAAUAUGGCAACAAGGGGAAAGUUAUGUGCAUUCCUCAUUGUUUGACUUUUCCUAUAUCUUUAGUAUCAGGUCAUCGUACAAUACAAAUACUUCCUGCAAUGAUUGGAAGUAAUGCAGAACAAGAAUUGAAUUUGGAAUCGCUGAGAAAAAGGAUUGGUGUACAAAAUAAGAAAGUAUAUAAAGGACAACAAACAUCUUCCAUAAGCGAUCAAAAUUGUAUAACUGAAAUAGAUUCUGCUCCACCUUUAGGUAUAAAAAAUAUUUUGACAUUUUUUUUUAUUUAAUACACAAUUUAAUUUACCAUCUGAUCAUGAAGCUGUAAGUAAAUGGUGUGAAUGUUGAACACAUGAGGGAGAAGCUGCCAUGUGGCAACUCUCCUGUAUAAUAUAUUUUAUAUUAGUUCACAUAAAUAGUUAAUUUAUUAAGUCUGUUGGCCAUGGUUUCUUCAGUCACCUUUCAAAUCCAGGAGGGGUAUUUAGCAGUCUUGAUUCGUUACUUGGAUGAUCCGUUGUCCAUCAAGGAAGUUUCUUGUGAUUCUAAUUUUUUUCUCUACCAAGGAUGUGGCAGAGUCAUCUUGUAUAGGGUUUUGUUCAAGUGUAAACACUUUUUUGCGCCAGUCCAGAGCUGUCUGCCAGCGCUGUCUGAAUAGAAAGGUGGUCUAUUUUUCAUGCCACUGGCAUUCCAGUGAGACUGGCACCAGUUUCUGGAUACAUGUAAACGUUACUUUAUUUUAUGUAAAUAUUAUUUUCAUUCUAGAAUCAAAGGGAGACUCUUUUAACAGGUAAAUGACGAUAUCAUUCUUUUUGUUCUAGAAAAACUGUAAAUAGUAUUUAAGGCAACGAUUGUGAAUGAGUGAGAAGUCUAAUAAAACCACGACGAGAUACUGUAUUAGAGCGUACGAUUUGGAGGUAUUUUUGAUUAGAUAAAUUUUGUAAAGUACAAUAUAAAUUAGAUUUGAUAAUGUGUAGUAUUUCCUAAUAAAUUAAAUACUAUUAAGUGUUUAUUGUUCUUGUAAGUUAGUGUGGUAAAUAAAUAAUAUGAAGUAAG
Molecule: long non-coding RNA, 4248 nt
Filed under: Diabrotica virgifera virgifera (western corn rootworm)
Lineage: Eukaryota; Metazoa; Arthropoda; Insecta; Coleoptera; Chrysomelidae
Description: uncharacterized LOC126887898
Source: RNAcentral